AUUGAACGCUGGCGGCAUGCUUUACACAUGCAAGUCGAACGGCAGCGCGGUCUUCGGCCUGGCGGCGAGUGGCGAACGGGUGAGUAAUGCAUCGGAACGUGCCCAGUUGUGGGGGAUAGCCCUGCGAAAGCCGGAUUAAUACCGCAUACGACCUGACGGUGAAAGCGGGGGAUCGAAAGGCCUCGCGCUAUUGGAGCGGCCGAUGUCGGAUUAGCUAGUUGGUGGGGUAAAGGCUUACCAAGGCGACGAUCCGUAGCUGGUCUGAGAGGACGACCAGCCACACUGGAACUGAGACACGGCCCAGACUCCUACGGGAGGCAGCAGUGGGGAAUUUUGGACAAUGGGCGCAACCCUGAUCCAGCCAAGCCGCGUGAGAGAAGAAGGCCUUCGGGUUGUAAACCGCUUUUGUUCGGGAAGAAAAACUCUCGGCUAAUACCGCGGGGUGAUGACGGUACCGAAAGAAUAAGCACCGGCUAACUACGUG
Molecule: ribosomal RNA, 484 nt
Filed under: uncultured bacterium
Lineage: Bacteria
Description: partial 16S ribosomal RNA
Rfam family: Bacterial small subunit ribosomal RNA
Source: RNAcentral